Gossypium hirsutum (cotton) is the source of this 108-nucleotide non-coding RNA. Lineage: Eukaryota; Viridiplantae; Streptophyta; Magnoliopsida; Malvales; Malvaceae. The record is from Rfam.
AAUACUGUAAUGAGGGCGCUUUUGUAAUAACUCCUUGAAUAGCUCCUGUGCCUCAUAUAAAGAUUCUUUAUCAAGUUUCAAGAAUGAAGUGAUUUCAUUUCGGAUCUU